RNAcentral lists this ribosomal RNA (252 nucleotides) under uncultured bacterium. Its description in RNAcentral is "partial 16S ribosomal RNA". It matches the Rfam family "Bacterial small subunit ribosomal RNA", at positions 524 to 776 of the family's 1533-position model. The record is from RNAcentral.
UACGGAGGAUGCGAGCGUUAUCCGGAUUUAUUGGGUUUAAAGGGUGCGCAGGCGGUCUGUUAAGUCAGCGGUCAAAGCCCGGGGCUCAACCCCGGCCCGCCGUUGAAACUGGCAGUCUCGAGUUGGAGAGAAGUAUGCGGAAUGCGCGGUGUAGCGGUGAAAUGCAUAGAUAUCGCGCAGAACUCCGAUUGCGAAGGCAGCAUGCCGGCUCCGCACUGACGCUGAGGCACGAAAGCGUGGGUAUCGAACAGG